RNAcentral lists this ribosomal RNA (256 nucleotides) under uncultured bacterium. RNAcentral's name for it is "partial 16S ribosomal RNA". It matches the Rfam family "Bacterial small subunit ribosomal RNA", at positions 334 to 607 of the family's 1533-position model. The record is from RNAcentral.
UUCACCUACGGGGGGCAGCAGUGGGGAAUAUUGCACAAUGGGGGAAACCCUGAUGCAGCAACGCCGCGUGAGUGAAGAAGUAUUUCGGUAUGUAAAGCUCUAUCAGCAGGGAAGAAGAUGACGGUACCUGAUUAAGAAGCCCCGGCUAACUACGUGCCAGCAGCCGCGGUAAUACGUAGGGGGCAAGCGUUAUCCGGAUUUACUGGGUGUAAAGGGAGCGUAGACGGCAUAGCAAGUCUGAAGUGAAAGCCCAAGG